RNAcentral lists this long non-coding RNA (645 nucleotides) under Cricetulus griseus (Chinese hamster). RNAcentral's name for it is "lncRNA (ENSCGRG00015029995.1)". The record is from RNAcentral. Lineage: Eukaryota; Metazoa; Chordata; Mammalia; Rodentia; Cricetidae.
GGGAGAGGCCUCGGGAUGAGGGAACCGGUCAGGAUUUGGCAGGGCGAUGCAUUUCUCAGAACACUUCCUUCUCCCUGCUUUUUCUGUCUUCACUAAUAUUUAUUCUUGGGUUUCUAUUUUGUUUUAGAGAGUUUGCAAAACUGCUGUUUUGGGACCGAAGGGAAUAUUCUGCUGUGAAAGAACGUUUUAUGGACUUCAUACAACUGGGACCUUCAACACCGUCACCACCCUUGAAGCAACUGGGGGGCGGGGUGCAGCCGAGUGGGGCUGGUGCACAGCUGUGGCGGACUCCUGGCAUUCUCCACUCCUGGCCAGGCAGCUCUGGAAUCUGGAACAGGACAGGACAUGGUGGGAGCUGCAGGUGGUCCUGAUGUCAUUAAGAGUGAAGAAGAGGUUGAGAGUUUUUGGCUAUCUGCACUCAAUGGGGGAUGUGAAGGAUUCAUUGCAUAGGCCAGAAGAAGGUGUGAGAUCCCCUGGAACCGGAAUCACAGACAAUGGUGAGCUGCUGUAUAGGUAGGUGUUGGGAAACACACCAGGAUCCUCUGCAAGAUCAGACAGUGCUCUUAACUGCUGAGCCAUCUCUCCAGGCCUUCACUUAUUAACCACUUAGUAUAAAUGAAGGUUUUCUACAUGGUGAUGUUUGGG